Molecule: long non-coding RNA, 313 nt
Filed under: Salmo salar (Atlantic salmon)
Lineage: Eukaryota; Metazoa; Chordata; Actinopteri; Salmoniformes; Salmonidae
Description: lncRNA (ENSSSAG00000083633.1)
Source: RNAcentral
GUCAAUGUGGAGGCUAUAUACAGGGGGUACCGGUACAGAGUCAAUGUGGAGGCUAUAUACAGGGGGUACCGGUACAGAGUCAAUGUGGAGGCUAUAUACAGGGGUUACCGGUACAGAGUCAAUGUGGAGGCUAUAUACAGGGUAUUACGGUACAGAGUCAAUGUGGAGGCUAUAUACAGGGGGUACCGGUACAGAGUCAAUGUGGAGGCUAUAUACAGGGGGUACCGGUACAGAGUCAGUGUGGAGGCUAUAUACAGGGGUUACCGGUACAGAGUCAAUGUGGAGGCUAUAUACAGGGUAUUACGGUACAGAG